AUCAACCUCCUAAAUCCAAUGGUAUUGACAAAGUUAAGGUCCAAUUCAACCAAGACCAAGACCAAAUAGAAGUAAGGUCAACAUAAAGUCAAUACAAAAGCUCACCAAAUCAUUAAAUCAAUUAAAAUAUUUUAAAAACAUUUUUAAGAAUGAAGAAAAAUAAGUUUUCAAAGAUAAAAAAUCUGAAACCCCUUCAAAACACCAAAGAAAUGGUUAAGGGAUUUAUCAUAGGUCAAGUACGGUCAAAGGACCAUUGACUAAUUUUUUUGGUAUUUUUCAA
Molecule: long non-coding RNA, 280 nt
Filed under: Lathyrus oleraceus (garden pea)
Lineage: Eukaryota; Viridiplantae; Streptophyta; Magnoliopsida; Fabales; Fabaceae
Description: Pisum sativum (pea) long non-coding RNA (PSAT_LNC015780)
Source: RNAcentral